RNAcentral lists this ribosomal RNA (1373 nucleotides) under uncultured bacterium. RNAcentral describes it as "bacterial SSU rRNA". It matches the Rfam family "Bacterial small subunit ribosomal RNA", at positions 28 to 1381 of the family's 1533-position model. The record is from RNAcentral.
GAUGAACGCUGGCGGCGUGCCUAAUACAUGCAAGUCGAGCGAACGGACGAGAAGCUUGCUUCUCUGAUGUUAGCGGCGGACGGGUGAGUAACACGUGGAUAACCUACCUAUAAGACUGGGAUAACUUCGGGAAACCGGAGCUAAUACCGGAUAAUAUUUUGAACCGCAUGGUUCAAAAGUGAAAGACGGUCUUGCUGUCACUUAUAGAUGGAUCCGCGCUGCAUUAGCUAGUUGGUAAGGUAACGGCUUACCAAGGCAACGAUGCAUAGCCGACCUGAGAGGGUGAUCGGCCACACUGGAACUGAGACACGGUCCAGACUCCUACGGGAGGCAGCAGUAGGGAAUCUUCCGCAAUGGGCGAAAGCCUGACGGAGCAACGCCGCGUGAGUGAUGAAGGUCUUCGGAUCGUAAAACUCUGUUAUUAGGGAAGAACAUAUGUGUAAGUAACUGUGCACAUCUUGACGGUACCUAAUCAGAAAGCCACGGCUAACUACGUGCCAGCAGCCGCGGUAAUACGUAGGUGGCAAGCGUUAUCCGGAAUUAUUGGGCGUAAAGCGCGCGUAGGCGGUUUUUUAAGUCUGAUGUGAAAGCCCACGGCUCAACCGUGGAGGGUCAUUGGAAACUGGAAAACUUGAGUGCAGAAGAGGAAAGUGGAAUUCCAUGUGUAGCGGUGAAAUGCGCAGAGAUAUGGAGGAACACCAGUGGCGAAGGCGACUUUCUGGUCUGUAACUGACGCUGAUGUGCGAAAGCGUGGGGAUUAAACAGGAUUAGAUACCCUGGUAGUCCACGCCGUAAACGAUGAGUGCUAAGUGUUAGGGGGUUUCCGCCCCUUAGUGCUGCAGCUAACGCAUUAAGCACUCCGCCUGGGGAGUACGACCGCAAGGUUGAAACUCAAAGGAAUUGACGGGGACCCGCACAAGCGGUGGAGCAUGUGGUUUAAUUCGAAGCAACGCGAAGAACCUUACCAAAUCUUGACAUCCUUUGACAACUCUAGAGAUAGAGCCUUCCCCUUCGGGGGACAAAGUGACAGGUGGUGCAUGGUUGUCGUCAGCUCGUGUCGUGAGAUGUUGGGUUAAGUCCCGCAACGAGCGCAACCCUUAAGCUUAGUUGCCAUCAUUAAGUUGGGCACUCUAAGUUGACUGCCGGUGACAAACCGGAGGAAGGUGGGGAUGACGUCAAAUCAUCAUGCCCCUUAUGAUUUGGGCUACACACGUGCUACAAUGGACAAUACAAAGGGCAGCGAAACCGCGAGGUCAAGCAAAUCCCAUAAAGUUGUUCUCAGUUCGGAUUGUAGUCUGCAACUCGACUACAUGAAGCUGGAAUCGCUAGUAAUCGUAAAUCGGCAUGCUACGGUGAAUACGUUCCCGGGGUCU